GGAAGGAUUCCCCUACAGAUUUCUGAGGGAGGAUGGCCCUGCCAACAGCUUGGUCUCAGACUUCUAGACUCCAGAAAGAAAGCAGAAAUCUGUCCUGGAGUACUCUGGUGUGGUGCUACCACGCAGAUGCGUGCUUCUAGGACAACCUGCAGAGGCUCUGAGCUAGGAUUCCAGAGACGCUGAAAUGAAGACGACACAGUCAUCAUCUGGUUGGGGAGAGAGAUACAUAAAACAAACAGAAGAUAAUGUGGCAAAUACAUUCAGAGAUAGACUCAGGUACAGGGAGGGCACCUCUCACGUGUGGGUUUUAUGACCUGCUUCAGGGGAAAGUCCUUCCUGCACGUGCCAUUUCUCACAUUCCUUCAGCUUGAAAUAUUCAAUAUGCCAAGGUGCCACAUUUUGGAGGAAUGUGUCCUGAACCCCGUGAGAAACCAAAGCUGAGCGAUCCAGCCAAGAUUCAGGAUCCUUCUCUGAAGUGUUCCCAGGACACCAUUUCUCAGCCGGUUCCUAUCAAAGUGCCAGCGGGUGUUUGUUACCAGGAUACUAACUCCCAUACGGACUUUAAGGUGCUUCAGCUGCCCUGCCCUGGGGGAUCCAGUUCUACUGCGGAGCUCCUGGGGGUCCUGGAUGGGCUGGACCCUGAUCCUUCUGGACAGCUGAGAUCUAACAGGUGCCGAUCGUGUCAGGAUCCAGAGAGAAGUAACAGAAGGAGUAAAUACGCUGAGCCAGGAAAAAGCCCGGUGCUCUAAAUGCAGAAAGGCCAGAGUGGCUCAAGCAAAGUGAAUGGAAGGACGAUGGAACGAGGCUGAGAUGAGAGAGGCCAGCAGGCCCAGAUCCUGUGGGGUUCUGAGGCUCAGGGGAGGGGUUCGGGAGUGCGUGUGCAAACACACAGGGGUGUGCGUGUGUGUGUGUGUGUGUGUGUGUGUGUGUGUGUGUUUUGAGAGAAAGGAAUGAACGUGAUCUGACGUGUUUAAAAGGUCGCUCUUGGGGAUAAGGGUGACCAAUUACGAGACCAUAAAAUAAACCAGGCAGGAGGUAAAGAUGACUUGGGUUAGGGUAGUGUUAAAAGAUAAACUGAGGCAAAUUUAAAAUUUUAAGAGUUUAUUUGAGCAAAAUUCGAUUAUUCGAAUCAGGCAUCAGCAAACAGGGAGUAGUCAGGAGCACUCCACUGCCAGGCACUGAGGAGAGACCUACCGAGAGAAGGCGGGAGCAAACCAAGGAAAUCAUUGGCUCAGCUCAAAGCCUAGCUGGCUGUUUGUGAUUGGUUGUCCUUAGCGUUUCAUUUUUGUAACCUUGAGCCAUUUACGGGCUCAGAUUUGGGUUUGCUGAUAUAGGCCACCACAGCAUGACAGCCCCCUCAGUCUAGUGGCCUCUGGUUUAAUUAAUUUAACAGUAGCUACAGUGGGAGAGGUGCCAAGGGGGCCUAUUUGGGCAAUAGCAUGAAAGUAGGUAACAACAUUAUGUUGUAUAUUUGAAAGUUGCUAAGAGAGUAAAUCUUAAAACUUCCUAUCACAAGGCAAAAAAAUUUGUACCUCUGUGGUGUGAUGGAUGUUAACUAAACCUAUUGUGUUGAUCAUUUUGCAAUAUAUACAUAUGUCAGAUCAUUAUGCUGUACACUUAAAGCCAAUACAAUGUUAUGUGUCAAUUAUAUCUCAAUAAAAUUGGAAAAAAAUUUAAAAUAAAAUAAUUUCUAAAAGAAAGUAGA
Long non-coding RNA from Equus caballus (horse), 1705 nucleotides. NCBI's taxonomy places the organism in Eukaryota, Metazoa, Chordata, Mammalia, Perissodactyla, Equidae. The record is from Ensembl.